RNAcentral lists this ribosomal RNA (540 nucleotides) under uncultured Geobacteraceae bacterium. Its description in RNAcentral is "bacterial SSU rRNA". It matches the Rfam family "Bacterial small subunit ribosomal RNA", at positions 9 to 526 of the family's 1533-position model. The record is from RNAcentral. Lineage: Bacteria; Pseudomonadati; Thermodesulfobacteriota; Desulfuromonadia; Geobacterales; Geobacteraceae.
GAGUUUGAUCCUGGCUCAGAACGAACGCUGGCGGCGUGCCUAACACAUGCAAGUCGAACGUGAUCCAGAGCUUGCUCUGGUGAAAGUGGCGCACGGGUGAGUAACGCGUGGAUAACCUACCCUGGUAUCCGGGAUAACAUUCCGAAAGGGGUGCUAAUACCGGAUAAGCCCACGGGCUCUUUGGAGCUUGCGGGAAAAGGUGGCCUCUAUUUAUAAGCUACUGUAUCAGGAUGGGUCCGCGUACCAUUAGCUAGUUGGCGGUGUAACGGACCACCAAGGCGACGAUGGUUAGCUGGUCUGAGAGGAUGAUCAGCCACACUGGAACUGAGACACGGUCCAGACUCCUACGGGAGGCAGCAGUGGGGAAUUUUGCGCAAUGGGGGAAACCCUGACGCAGCAACGCCGCGUGAGUGAUGAAGGCCUUUGGGUCGUAAAGCUCUGUCAGAGGGGAAGAAAUGAUAUAGUGCUAAUACCACUUUAUCUUGACGGUACCCUCAAAGGAAGCACCGGCUAACUCUGUGCCAGCAGCCGCGGUAAUAC